This is a long non-coding RNA of Panicum virgatum (switchgrass), 3263 nucleotides long. RefSeq lists it as uncharacterized. The transcript is spliced from 2 exons. The record is from RefSeq and is a predicted model, not a curated record. Lineage: Eukaryota; Viridiplantae; Streptophyta; Magnoliopsida; Poales; Poaceae.
CGCGCGCGGGUGGGAGUCAACGGGUCGCAGAAGGCCCGUCAACGGACCACCGCCGCCGCUCGCCGCGCCGCCAAGGUAGGGGAGGGGGGACGGGGUGGAGAGGUCGCCGGCGGAGGCGAAGCGGCGCGGGACCGCGCCGCCAGCCGGGCGGGGCUGUACCCCCGGUGGACGGAUGGGGGGUAGGGGAUGAAUUCUGUUCUAGCUCUCUCUCGCGUACAGUUCAACUGCAAUCUGUUGGCCUUUGGUUAUAUGGGGAAGCCGUGGGCUCGAAUUGUUUACUGGACCGAUGUUUUGCUCUGGUUUGGUCGGCGUCAUCGACCUGGUCUGGGGUUGUCAUACAUUGCGUAGGGUGAACAUCGUUUUGAAAACUCUCUGUUUUGAGAGGGUCAUCCAGCUGUGUGCUGUAAUAGUGUAAUGUUGCUUUGAGAGGAGUAUGUCAUUUGAUAAUUUGAUUAUUAAACGAAUUGUUUACUGGACUGAUGCUUUGCUCUGGUCUGGUUGGCAUCAUCGACCCGGUCUGGGGUUGUCAUACAUUACGUAGGGUGAACGUUGCUUUGAGAGGGUCAUCCAGUUGUGUGCUGUAAUAGUGUAAUGUUGCUUUGAGAGAAGUAUGUCAUUUGAUAAUUUGAUUAUUCAAGGUGAUUUUGCCCCUGUUUUGACUGUUGACCAGGGGCAAAAUUGCGUUGACUUGUGAAUAGCAAGGGUAAAAUUACAGAGUUAAGAAGGGUAAAGCCAUGAUUGCACUGUAAAGUAGGGCAAUAACAUGAAAACAACAACAACAACAUAGUCUUUUUUCCCAAGCAAGUUGGGGUAGGCUAGAGAUGAAAUCCAAAAGAAACAAUGGUCGCGGUUCAGGCACAUUGAUAGCUAGUUUCCAAGCGCUCGUAUCCAAAGCUAUCUCUUUAGAGAUAUUCCAAUCCUUAAGGUCUCUCUUAACCGACUCAUCUCAAGUCAGUUUAGGUCUACCUCUACCCCUCUUUACAUUAUCGACCCGCUAUAGAACCCCACUACGUACCGGCACAUCAGGAGGCCUCCAUUGGACAUGUUCAAACCAUCUCAACCGAUGUUGGGUAAGUUUCUCCUCAAAUAGUGCCACCCUGACCCUAUCCCGAAUAACUUCGUUCCGGACUCUAUCCCUCCUUGUGUGCCUGCAAAACCACCGCAACAUUCGCAUCUCUACUACACUCAGUUACUGGACAUGUCACCUUUUUGUAGGCCAACAUUACGCACCAUAUAACAUCGCUGGGUGAAUCGAUGUCCUAUAGAACUUGCCUUUUAGCUUUUGUGGCACCCUAAAAGGCAAGUUCUAUAGGGCAAUAACACGAAUGCCUUUACUUAUUUCUCAUUUUAUGGUUUUUUAUAUGCUGUAUCGAUACAGUCGCAUUCAGUAAUGGUUGUACCUGUGACCUGUCGGCAACCUAAGCUAUCUCGCUGGGGAACAAAAACCUAUGUGCCAUCUUGAUAGGCAACAUCCAGUUGCAUAUUUCUAACUAGAUCUUGUUUUUAUGUUCUGUUUUCUUCCUUGUGGGCUAUGUGAAAUUAAUCUUGUCUAAAGUGUUACUGUGGGUGAUUUUUACCUGAAAUUUAAACAAAUAGAAUGAGAUAACAAACCCUUCUAAGUCCAAAGAAGGCAUCGCGCUUCUGAUAAACAGGUACAUCUUGUCAUCAUGGCUCUAGGAUUGAAUCACAUGUUAUUUGUUUCUUCCCCCAUUUUGUUUUUUUUUUCAUAUUUCUUCAAUUCUUGAAUGGGGCCUAUUGUUGUAAUAAGAAGCAUAUGGAUAUGGAGGUAACAGUGAGGACUAGAACCAGGGACCUCCCAAAUAUGAUCUAGGUCAAGCUUUGCUUGGAUAGUUGCUCAAUUGUGAGUUAUAAACAAAUUACUAGUAUCUACACUUAAUUAUGAUUCUAAAAUUCGGAAUGUUCAUUUAGCGAAAUAUAAAUUUCUUGAUAUGGCAAUAGGAUGAUUUAAUUGAACUUCUAAAUCUGAUAAUGUUAUUUGAACCUUCAAACUAAUCUCUUUGUGGUGUUAUAGAGAACAUGCGAUCUUUUUUUCCACUUUUAACAUUGCCUAGCAAAUAUACUAUGCAUUGCUGCGGGCGAAACACAUGUCUUUGUUCCAUGGCAUUUGCACCUUCGCAUUUGAUAUUUGGAGUAUUGUUUUUUUCUUUAGAGUUUUAGUUGGUCGGUAUUGUGGUAUUCUGGUACUAGCUAUUGUGUUGAUGCUUGGUGAAACCUGUACACUAUUGCUUGUGUGUUGAGGAAGGCCACAAUUUAUUCAUUAAGAUAAUUUUUUUUGCAUUUCUCCAUCACAUAUUUGUGAAGCCUUACAUAUUCUUUCAUUUUACGUAUGAAUCCCUUUGGUGCCAUUCUUUUCAUGCUCCAGGUCCAUCUAUAUUGAUAUGGUUCUCAGGGAAAGAGAAGCAUAAUAUUGUUCCAUUUGUCCAGAGUAAUUGUUGGAUAAUGUAAUGUGACCCCAAUAAUGUUUUCGCCGAAAGUCUUGCUCCCUCUACCAUUAAUGGAGCUCCUAGCCCUCAUAUUUCAAGCAGACAACAUGGAAUGUUGUGUUGCUCCGGCGGCAAGAAAUCCAAACUGAUCUCUCCGAAGUGGUGGUCACAUAGAGGACCUUCUAGAUGAGAUUGAGAUUGAAAAUCUCUCUACAACGUCGUAACCAUCGCACUUGGCCUCUGAGAAUGCAAUAACCCCGUCUCUUCCCUAUGGGGCACAUGGUGAUGGUCAUACUUCAUAGCAGUGGCAUAUGGUUGCAAAGGUAGUAGGCAGGAGUAUGAUUAAAUGUGGGAGUGGGUGGUAGCUAGCCAUGACAGUGGUGGAGUGCUGAUAGCGCCGACACCAACCAUGGAGGAGCUCUCAAAAUGACUAGAAGGAGGAAGGAUAAGAAAGGGAGGAAUAAGAAGGUAGGGGCACAAUCCUUUAGUGCAACGCUCGAGUGGGCCUAAAAAGUGUACAUGGCGUGCUAGCUCAACAAAAUGUUAACUUUUCAAUAAAUAAUGAGCUGUAAAUACCAAUUUUGUCCAAGUUUUUCGGAAGGACAACAUUAAGAAUGCACCCUCUAAAAUAAUGGAAAAGGUUAAUUGCCUCGAACCAAGCGUGAACGUCAAACUACCACAACUUAUGCUGAUGCAUUUGAAGGACCAAUAUUUCAGCUGGUAGAGUGUUGGACUCUUCAGUUCCAAUGUUGACACCUAUGUUCAUAUUUGUAAAGGAAUAGUCAUUAUAAAAUAAUCCAUCUCAUGAUAAUAUUGCUA